RNAcentral lists this long non-coding RNA (278 nucleotides) under Actinidia chinensis (golden kiwifruit). RNAcentral describes it as "long non-coding RNA (ACHI_LNC008755)". Lineage: Eukaryota; Viridiplantae; Streptophyta; Magnoliopsida; Ericales; Actinidiaceae. The record is from RNAcentral.
UGGAAUCAAUAAGUACAAUCAAGCUCAUUCAUAGUUCUACUCAUUCAUAGUUCUAUAGUAUAAAACUAUUGAAACACAUAGGCUAGGUAGUUCACUUAUUGGAAACUUAGACACGAAAUCCAUAUACUCACUAGGUUAGACUUCAUUCUCCUGCUCAAAUUCUGUGUCAUAGAAACCUCAGCGGAUAUAUUAAUGGAUUUGAUGAAAAAUGCUCAUAUCAUUAUGAAGUCAUUGUAAUGAUUAGCCUUGAUAAUUUGCACAGUAUACAUAAUAAUGGC